This 309-nucleotide long non-coding RNA is filed under the name Jatropha curcas. RNAcentral describes it as "long non-coding RNA (JCUR_LNC002951)". Lineage: Eukaryota; Viridiplantae; Streptophyta; Magnoliopsida; Malpighiales; Euphorbiaceae. The record is from RNAcentral.
GAAAACAAACAAAUGAAUGUAAACUGCAUUUCCCAAAUUAGAAUUCUUAUUUAGAAUUUUCUUAUUAUAUAGAUACCUAUAAAGUGUCGGAAUGUGAAGACAAAGGCUGGAAGCGCACAAUAAGAAAGGCAGUUCUUUUAAGGACAACAAAAACUAUGAGUAGUGUUAGAUAACUAGUAUCAUCCGCCUGCAUUCAUGCAUUCACGGCUAAAUGUUAUCAUGCAUUAUUUUGUUGAAUUGCCAUAUUAUGAUGCACUAUUUGUUGAUAUUAAAAAUUGUUUGAUUACUUGUGCUAUGAAUAUACUNNNN